This 108-nucleotide microRNA precursor is filed under the name Anopheles melas. Its description in RNAcentral is "microRNA mir-598". Lineage: Eukaryota; Metazoa; Arthropoda; Insecta; Diptera; Culicidae. The record is from RNAcentral.
UGAUGAUGAUGAUGAUGCUGCUGCUGCUCCUGACGAUGGUUUCGCUUCCAAUCACCCCACGGAACAACCACGGAAUCAACAGCAGCAGCAGCAACAGCAUCACAAACU